GCAGAAUUAUCUAGAGAUGAAAGUAUAUUUGAGUUUGGCAAAGCUUCACUGGCUCCUUUUUUUUUGCAAAGCCUUCCAUCUGAACUAACUCCUUCUGAACAAACCCAAGAUUGUGGCAGAAAGUGAUCAUUUGCAUGAAAAAGGAAGUCUUAUGAACUUCUGUUCCACAGCAAGCCAAACUCAAGGGCACUUCCACUCAAACUUUUGCUCCAUGAACCACUCCACUUGCCCAUACUUCACAGCUAUUAUGGUUGUGCCCGCAGCUCUGCAAAAGGAACCUAAGUUGAUGAGAAGGAGCUGCUGAUGAGAAUUCCUACAUCAGGGAAAUCCUUUUCUAAGCACUUCCAUUCUUGGAGUUGGUCAAAGACUAUACCAGAAGUUCUGUUCUUCCAAAACCUCUAGUGGUACCGCACCCAGUUCUGCUGCAACAACUCAACUCCCAAAACAGA
RNAcentral lists this long non-coding RNA (449 nucleotides) under Coturnix japonica (Japanese quail). RNAcentral's name for it is "lncRNA (ENSCJPG00005007193.1)". The record is from RNAcentral. Lineage: Eukaryota; Metazoa; Chordata; Aves; Galliformes; Phasianidae.